CACGUAGGGGCCAAGCGUUGUCCGGAAUCAUUGGGCGUAAAGAGCUCGUAGGCGGCUCAGUAAGUCGGGUGUGAAACCCUCAGGCUCAACCUGGGGACGCCACCCGAUACUGCUGUGGCUAGAGUCCAGUAGGGGAGUGUGGAAUUCCCGGUGUAGCGGUGAAAUGCGCAGAUAUCGGGAGGAACACCAGCGGCGAAGGCGGCACUCUGGGCUGGUACUGACGCUGAGGAGCGAAAGCGUGGGUAGCAAACAGG
RNAcentral lists this ribosomal RNA (254 nucleotides) under uncultured bacterium. RNAcentral describes it as "partial 16S ribosomal RNA". It matches the Rfam family "Bacterial small subunit ribosomal RNA", at positions 524 to 776 of the family's 1533-position model. The record is from RNAcentral.